This 368-nucleotide ribosomal RNA is filed under the name uncultured organism. Its description in RNAcentral is "bacterial SSU rRNA". It matches the Rfam family "Bacterial small subunit ribosomal RNA", at positions 526 to 896 of the family's 1533-position model. The record is from RNAcentral.
CGGAGGGUGCAAGCGUUAUCCGGAUUCACUGGGUUUAAAGGGUGCGUAGGUGGGCAAGUAAGUCAGUGGUGAAAUCUCCGGGCUUAACCCGGAAACUGCCAUUGAUACUAUUUGUCUUGAAUAUCCUGGAGGUGAGCGGAAUAUGUCAUGUAGCGGUGAAAUGCUUAGAUAUGACAUAGAACACCCAUUGCGAAGGCAGCUCACCACGGGAACAUUGACACUGAGGCACGAAAGCGUGGGGAUCAAACAGGAUUAGAUACCCUGGUAGUCCACGCCCUAAACGAUGGAUACUCGACAUCAGCGAUAAACUGUUGGUGUCUGAGCAAAAGCAUUAAGUAUCCCACCUGGGAAGUACGAUCGCAAGAUUG